Molecule: ribosomal RNA, 454 nt
Filed under: uncultured bacterium
Lineage: Bacteria
Description: SSU rRNA
Rfam family: Bacterial small subunit ribosomal RNA
Source: RNAcentral
AGAACGAACGCUGGCGGCAUGCCUAACACAUGCAAGUCGAACGUGAUCCAGGCUUCGGCCUGGUGAAAGUGGCAGACGGGUGAGUAACGCGUGGGAACCUGCCCUGUGGUAGGGAAUAACCGUGGGAAACUGCGGCUAAUACCCUAUGAGUCCUUCGGGAGAAAGAUUUAUCGCCAUAGGAGGGGCCCGCGUCGGAUUAGGUAGUUGGUGGGGUAACGGCCUACCAAGCCUUCGAUCCGUAGCUGGUCUGAGAGGAUGAUCAGCCACACUGGGACUGAGAUACGGCCCAGACUCCUACGGGAGGCAGCAGUGGGGAAUAUUGGACAAUGGGGGCAACCCUGAUCCAGCAAUGCCGCGUGGAUGAUGAAGGCCUUGGGUUGUAAAGUCCUUUCGGCGGGGAAGAUGAUGACGGUACCACAGAAGAAGCCCCGGCUAACUUCGUGCCAGCAGCCGC